RNAcentral lists this unclassified non-coding RNA (355 nucleotides) under soil metagenome. RNAcentral describes it as "partial contains 5.8S ribosomal RNA, internal transcribed spacer 2, and large subunit ribosomal RNA". The stretch from base 1 to 120 matches the Rfam family "5.8S ribosomal RNA", at positions 35 to 154 of the family's 154-position model. The record is from RNAcentral.
GAUGAAGAACGUAGUGAAAUGCGAUAAGUAAUGCGAAUUGCAGAAUUCAGUGAAUCAUCGAAUCUUUGAACGCACAUUGCGCCCGCUAGUAUUCUGGCGGGCAUGCCUGUCUGAGCGUCAUUUCAACCCUCGCCCCCGGCUUUUGCUGGGAGCGGUGUUGGGGAUCGGCCGCCCGUCACUGGGAGGCCGGCCCCGAAAUAGAGUGGCGACCACGCCGUGUGCUCCUCUGCGUAGUAGUAAAUCACCUCGCAGGCGGACAGCGGUGCGGCCUGCCGUAAAACCCCCAACUCUUUCUGGUUGACCUCAGAUCAGGUAGGAAUACCCGCUGAACUUAAGCGUAUCAAUAAGCGGAGGA